This is a long non-coding RNA of Oreochromis aureus, 716 nucleotides long. The record is from Ensembl. Lineage: Eukaryota; Metazoa; Chordata; Actinopteri; Cichliformes; Cichlidae.
GGUUAGUUUAUUUUAUAAGCAGUUUGAAACAAAAACAACUAAGGAUAAAAGAAAAGUAAUGAUGAUAUUCAAAUUAAUUAGAUCUGCAUUCACAGUUUUUCUCUUGGCGUUAUCAUGUAACCUCUAAGGGAGAUGCUUUGCGUCUUAUUUUGAAAACCGGUAGUUUAGGAUUUCCAUUUUGGCUAACUUACCGCUGCUCCUUCUUUUCCCCAGUAUUAAACCUUGGGGGAGGGAUCCUUGAGUGCUGCUGUCGCACAACUACGCUAGACUAGAAGCUUUACUUUUCGACUGUUUGAAUCAGGCAGGCAGGCGGUGGUGGGUCUACGCGAGGCGGAUACUCAAAAAAUAGCUCUGAAAGGCGAUCAGGUAUGGCGGAUGCUAACGGAGGGGCUCCGCGGGACUUUACGUAAAGAUGAGGAUUCCUCCGACUUUAGUCCAGGCCUGGAGGUGGAUUUAUCCAGAAGUAGGCCUGUCCCAGGGGCACCUUGAAUAGUCAUCAGCAGUGGCAAAUUAAAAAAAUGAAUUUGGGACCAAAGAAAAAGCCACGUCACCACCAGAUAUCCAAAUGUGGUUAUAAAUCCCAGUGAGGAUGUGUGAUUCGACUGAUCCAACAGCCGUCCGUGCAGAGACGGGCUCUCAUGUGUGCAGAGACGUCCCAGAUGUAGGUUACUGUAUGCUUUCAGAAAGAAUUACAAGUCUCCCCAAUGGCAGACCAG